RNAcentral lists this ribosomal RNA (528 nucleotides) under Bombus sichelii. Its description in RNAcentral is "partial 16S ribosomal RNA". The stretch from base 376 to 528 matches the Rfam family "Bacterial large subunit ribosomal RNA", at positions 2473 to 2626 of the family's 2925-position model. Lineage: Eukaryota; Metazoa; Arthropoda; Insecta; Hymenoptera; Apidae. The record is from RNAcentral.
GGCUUAUUGAUAAUAAUUUUAAGUCUAUCUGCCCAAUGAUAUUAUAAUUAAAUGGCUGCAGUAUAAUUAACUGUACAAAGGUAGCAUAAUCAAUUGUUUUUUAAUUGAAAACUAGAAUGAAAGAAUUAAUGAGAUAUAUACUGUCUCAUAUAUAUAUAAUGAAAUUAAAUUUUUAGUAAAAAUGCUAAAAUAGAUUUAUGGGACGAUAAGACCCUAUAGAAUUUUAUAUUUAUAUUUAGAUUUAAAUUUAUUUUAAAUAUAAAUAUUUAAUUGGGAGGAUUAAUAAAUUUAAAUAACUUUAUUUAGAAUAAAACCUUUAAUUAAAGAAUAAUUUUUGAUCUUUUAUUAUAAAUUAAAAGAAAAAAUUACCUUAGGGAUAACAGCGUAAUAUCUUUUUAAAGAUCAUAUUAAUAAAGAUGAUUGCGACCUCGAUGUUGAAUUAAGAUAAAUUUUAAAUGGAGAAGUUUAAUAAUUAAGUCUGUUCGACUUUUAAAAUCUUACAUGAUUUGAGUUCAAAUCGACGUGAGU